This 192-nucleotide small RNA is filed under the name Arabidopsis thaliana (thale cress). RNAcentral's name for it is "ATSL099300". Lineage: Eukaryota; Viridiplantae; Streptophyta; Magnoliopsida; Brassicales; Brassicaceae. The record is from RNAcentral.
UUAACUAUCAUGAAAUACUUACAUCAACAAUAUGAUACAAUUGUAUGCAAUUAUGCUACUUAUUUGCUUUAAAAGUUGCCUAACUUGAUUCUAAGCAAACAAUUUCUUGUUCCAUGUAUUCUCUCCUAAUCUAGUAUUCCAAUCACAUCAUGAUAGGCGCAUGGUUAAAUAUUGGAUUCACAUAAUUUGAAU